RNAcentral lists this ribosomal RNA (750 nucleotides) under uncultured archaeon. Its description in RNAcentral is "bacterial SSU rRNA". It matches the Rfam family "Archaeal small subunit ribosomal RNA", at positions 21 to 747 of the family's 1478-position model. The record is from RNAcentral.
CCCCACUGCUAUCGGGGUGGGACUAAAACAUGCAAGUCGAGCGCCUUCAAGCUAUGGUGAAGGCGCGGCAAACGGCUCAGUAACACGUGGCCAACCUACCCUUGGGACGGAGACAACCCCGGGAAACUGGGGCUAAUCCCCGAUAGGUAAGGAAUCCUGGAAUGGAUCUUUGCUGAAAGGGCGUCUAGACCAUGCUUCUUGACGUCACCUAAGGAUGGAGCCGCGGCCGAUCAGGUAGUUGGCGAGGCAACGGCUCACCAAGCCUAUAACCGGUACGGGCCGUGAGAGCGGUAGCCCGGAGAUGGGCACUGAGACAAGGGCCCAGGCCCCACGGGGCGCAGCAGUUGCGAAAACUCCGCAAUGCGCGAAAGCGUGACGGGGCUACCCCGAGUGCCGCCCGUUGAGGGCGGCUUUUCCAUGGUGUAAGGAGCCGUGGGAAUAAGGAGAGGGCAAGACUGGUGUCAGCCGCCGCGGUAAUACCAGCUCUCCGAGUGGUAGGGAUGAUUAUUGGGCUUAAAGCGUCCGUAGCCGGCUUAGCAAGUCUCCUGUUAAAUUCAGCGACCUAAUCGUUGAGCCGCGGGAGAUACUACUAGGCUAGGAGGCGGGAGAGGUCGACGGUACUUCCGGGGUAGGGGUGAAAUCCUAUAAUCCCGGGCGGACCACCAGUGGCGAAGGCUGUCGACUAGAACGCGCUCGACGGUGAGGGACGAAAGCUGGGGGAGCGAACCGGAUUAGAUACCCGGGUAGUCC